RNAcentral lists this long non-coding RNA (890 nucleotides) under Mytilus galloprovincialis (Mediterranean mussel). The record is from RNAcentral. Lineage: Eukaryota; Metazoa; Mollusca; Bivalvia; Mytilida; Mytilidae.
UUUAAAAUAAGUUGAAAUUUCGAGUUUAAAAUAAGUCGAAAUUUCGAGUUUAAAAAAGUCGAAAUUUCGAGUUUAAAGUGAAGAUUUAGACUUUUUGUAAGUCGAAAUUUCGAGUUUCAAAAAAGUCAAUAUUUCGACUUUUCAAAAAGUCGAAAUUUCACGAUUUUUGAAAGUCAAAAUUUCAAGUUUAUGUCAAAAUUUCGGGAUUUGAAAAGUCAAAAUUUCAAGUUAAAGUCAAAAUUUCGACUUUGAAAAAAAAGUUCACUGCCAAUUUUAUUUUUUCUAUGUCCCUAAUACGCUUCCGUAUAUUUCUUAUUUUAACUGUUAACACAGUCUAUACAUAUCUGUACUUCAUAUUUAAAUUUUUACCUGGGGAAUUAUAUUCAAAUGAAAAUACAUGAAUAUCCAACAUACAUGACAUAAUAAAGGCUAUCUGUUCCAAACAGUUGAAUAAAUAUUCAUAAAAAUAAUUAACCUGUUAAAUUCAAUCAAUGAAAGCCAUAUUGGAUCAGAUACCAGACACUUCUGCCAAAUAAGAUUAAAUAGUCAAAAACAAGACAUUUUCCAGCUUCAUGAAAAAGACUUGGCAGGCUUUAAUUUUUUUGCUAUAAUAUCUUCAGUUUUGUUUUUUCUCUUUGAAACAAUAUUAUUGUUUCCAAUUUUUCAUUUUUAAUGUCAUUGGUACAUAAUGGAAAAAAAAGUUUAUGAUUGAAACAAUAAUUUUCAAGGAGAACUAUAAUACCUCAAAUGAUUCUGAAAAUUGAUAAUACAAGUACAACAAGAAUGUGUCCAAAGUACACGGAUGCCCCACUCGCACUAUUAUUUUACAUGUUCAAUGGACCGUGAAAUUGGGUAAAAAAUCUAAUUUGGCAUUAAAUUAGAAAGAUCAC